GCCUUCGUGGUGUAAUGGUUAACACACUCGGCGCGUAUGUGAGAGAUCUAGGUUCGAUUCCCGGCGAGAACA
This 72-nucleotide transfer RNA is filed under the name Stegodyphus mimosarum. It matches the Rfam family "tRNA". Rfam says of the family: Transfer RNA (tRNA) molecules are approximately 80 nucleotides in length. Their secondary structure includes four short double-helical elements and three loops (D, anti-codon, and T loops). The record is from Rfam by way of RNAcentral. Lineage: Eukaryota; Metazoa; Arthropoda; Arachnida; Araneae; Eresidae.